UUUUUGCGUUAAGGAUUGAAACGGCAUCCUUUUUUCUGGCAGUUCGAGUGAAUUUUGAAGCAUGAAAAAUUUGUAUCGAGAACAGAAGAAAAAAGAUAUAGUGUAAAGCCCGACCUUUU
RNAcentral lists this small RNA (119 nucleotides) under Polaribacter atrinae. Its description in RNAcentral is "Flavo-1 RNA". It matches the Rfam family "Flavo-1 RNA". Lineage: Bacteria; Pseudomonadati; Bacteroidota; Flavobacteriia; Flavobacteriales; Flavobacteriaceae. The record is from Rfam by way of RNAcentral.